ACGCCCCUGGCGGUAGAGAACAAGGGUGUGAACCCAACUCAAUAUUGCAGCUGGCAAGUGACACGGGAGGUGCAGGCAAAACCCUAGCCAGUGGAGGCGGCCAUGAUCAUCGCCGAAAUCGAUGCACAGAUGACCGGCACCAGGGAGGAGUUCGACAGCGAGGCGGUGAUCUGCGCUGCCAUGGUCAAUGAACAAGCCCAACGAGGUGGGAGACCACGCUACUCAUCGUCACUGAUAAAGGGUUCAUCAACAUCGUCGUCGGGUUGCUCAAGCACUCUGACAAGGAGAGCCUUGCGAGAAAGAACAAAUCAAGAUUCAAUGCCCUGCACAUCACUGCAAAGGAAGGCCACGGAGUAGUUUUGCUACACUAUAGUAGCAACAAUCCUUGCGUGACAAUUAUUGUACCGAUUACAUCAUAGCAAAUCAUAGCAAAGGGACAAUAUGAGGGGCCUUCAAACUGCAGUUUGAGAGACAAUCUGUUUGUCCUAUGGAGGUGCUCAAUGGACUUAACAUCAGAAUAGCCUGGCUUUCAGAAGAAAAGAUGACAGCUUUAUUUUGUUGUUGUAGUGUGCCUAUUCGGAAACAAGAAGUGAGUGCUUUGUUUUUUUAAUAAUAUAAC
This is a long non-coding RNA of Triticum dicoccoides, 619 nucleotides long. RefSeq lists it as uncharacterized. The record is from RefSeq and is a predicted model, not a curated record. The transcript is spliced from 3 exons. Lineage: Eukaryota; Viridiplantae; Streptophyta; Magnoliopsida; Poales; Poaceae.